AUGAGAGCCAGCAGGUCACCCCUCCUCUUCAGUGGCAGCAGCAGCACUGGAAGUGGCCCCUGCAGUGUGAAGCUCCUGGGAUUUUCCCCACCCUUUACCAGAACUUUGUUUCUCUCUUUUCCUGGCGAGGAUGUCUCAAGACGCCUGAUGUAUAUACUCCUCCCAGCUCUUACCAGACCCAAGAUCCCCUCUGGGAGUCAUCCCUCCAAGUUCAUCCUGAGAGUAGAACUGAAAGCAGAGAAGAAAGAGGGACCGUAUUCCCUUUGAACGCAGCCGACAUCUGGAUGUUCCAAGCCUGGCCUGCUGGACUCCCAAGAAUGGGUAAUAUCUGAAUGUGAAUAGACACUGAGCUCUUAAACAUGACACAGUUCCAAGCACAACACCCAAUGAGGUAGGUACUGUAACCACCCCAGUUCACAAGUGACGAAAGGAGGGCCCAGAGAGGUUAAUAGCUGGAAAGUGGCAGAACUAGGAA
This 475-nucleotide long non-coding RNA is filed under the name Felis catus (domestic cat). RNAcentral's name for it is "lncRNA (ENSFCAG00000053458.1)". The record is from RNAcentral. Lineage: Eukaryota; Metazoa; Chordata; Mammalia; Carnivora; Felidae.